AAGGAAGUGGCAGAGUGGUGAUGUGGUUGGCUUGAAACCAAUUUAUGGAGGUUCGAUUCCUUCCUUUCUCG
Molecule: transfer RNA, 71 nt
Filed under: Mastacembelus erythrotaenia (fire eel)
Lineage: Eukaryota; Metazoa; Chordata; Actinopteri; Synbranchiformes; Mastacembelidae
Description: tRNA-Ser(UCN)
Rfam family: tRNA
About the family: Transfer RNA (tRNA) molecules are approximately 80 nucleotides in length.
Source: RNAcentral